AAGCAGCGAGGAAUACAUGCGCUUUGUGUGAUGGAUCAGGUUCAAUCACAACCGUCUGAUUCUAUUAAAUGAUAAAGCGUAUCUGAGCUU
Musa acuminata AAA Group (dessert banana) is the source of this 90-nucleotide small nucleolar RNA. RefSeq annotates it as small nucleolar RNA snoR114. NCBI's taxonomy places the organism in Eukaryota, Viridiplantae, Streptophyta, Magnoliopsida, Zingiberales, Musaceae. The transcript has a single exon. The record is from RefSeq and is a predicted model, not a curated record.